UAGUGGCGGACGGGUGAGUAACGCGUGGGUAACCUGCCUUAUACAGGGGGAUAACAGUCAGAAAUGACUGCUAAUACCGCAUAAGCGCACAGGACCGCAUGGUCCGGUGUGAAAAACUCCGGUGGUAUAAGAUGGACCCGCGUUGGAUUAGCUUGUUGGUGGGGUAACGGCCCACCAAGGCGACGAUCCAUAGCCGGCCUGAGAGGGUGAACGGCCACAUUGGGACUGAGACACGGCCCAGACUCCUACGGGAGGCAGCAGUGGGGAAUAUUGCACAAUGGGGGAAACCCUGAUGCAGCGACGCCGCGUGAAGGAAGAAGUAUCUCGGUAUGUAAACUUCUAUCAGCAGGGAAGAAAAUGACGGUACCUGACUAAGAAGCCCCGGCUAACUACGUGCCAGCAGCCGCGGUAAUACGUAGGGGGCAAGCGUUAUCCGGAUUUACUGGGUGUAAAGGGAGCGUAGACGGAUGGACAAGUCUGAUGUGAAAGGCUGGGGCUCAACCCCGGGACUGCAUUGGAAACUGCCCGUCUUGAGUGCCGGAGAGGUAAGCGGAAUUCCUAGUGUAGCGGUGAAAUGCGUAGAUAUUAGGAGGAACACCAGUGGCGAAG
Molecule: ribosomal RNA, 609 nt
Filed under: uncultured Lachnospiraceae bacterium
Lineage: Bacteria; Bacillati; Bacillota; Clostridia; Lachnospirales; Lachnospiraceae
Description: bacterial SSU rRNA
Rfam family: Bacterial small subunit ribosomal RNA
Source: RNAcentral